AGCUGGGUCCCGCCGUCGCUGCUCUCUUUGUGCGACGGUCUGAGUCCAUCAGUUUGGGAAUGGUGCGGUGCCCCUCGGAGCAGCUGGGGCUCCCUCCCCUACACCCAGGGGAGGCGGCGGCCCCGGCGUCCUGCGCUGUCUUCGCACGGCUUCCUGCGUGCCCCUGGUCCUCGCAGGCUGGUCCGCAACACCACGAGGAUGUUUUAAGAUGUCCGCCGGUGCGUUACCGUUGAAUGAACGUGAGUAUUAGGUGUGAGAUCCUUCUCAUUGCGUCUCACCAUCUUGUCUCCAAGGCGCUCUCUUUCAUGGGGCAAGUAUAGAGUCUGUUUUGUAGUGAACACGGGAAGCAGUGCAAGUAUUUUACCUGGGACUUUCCAAGGACUACCUUUUUUUGGUUCACAUUAAAAAAUCCUUUGUAACUCCCCAUGUUUUUGUCCUAGCCUCGUUAAACCUACUUUCCUAUUGUACGCUCCUACGUUCUGGGUUCCCUUGGUGGAGGUUUUUUUUUGUUUUUGUUUUUUUUCCAGUUCUGAGGUGUGUUCCCCCCCC
Ailuropoda melanoleuca (giant panda) is the source of this 549-nucleotide long non-coding RNA. RefSeq lists it as uncharacterized. The record is from RefSeq and is a predicted model, not a curated record. Lineage: Eukaryota; Metazoa; Chordata; Mammalia; Carnivora; Ursidae. The transcript has 3 exons.